RNAcentral lists this ribosomal RNA (465 nucleotides) under uncultured bacterium. RNAcentral describes it as "partial 16S ribosomal RNA". It matches the Rfam family "Bacterial small subunit ribosomal RNA", at positions 339 to 795 of the family's 1533-position model. The record is from RNAcentral.
CUACGGGUUGCUGCAGUGAGGAAUUUUGCGCAAUGGGGGAAACCCUGACGCAGCAACGCCGCGUGAGUGAUGAAGGCCUUCGGGUCGUAAAACUCUGUCAAGUGGGAAGAACCUAUGUAAGGUUAAUACCCUUAUGUACUGACGGUACCACUGAAGGAAGCACCGGCUAACUCCGUGCCAGCAGCCGCGGUAAUACGGAGGGUGCAAGCGUUAUUCGGAAUUCUUGGGCGUAAAGGGCGCGCAGGCGGUUUUGUAAGUCAGAUGUGAAAGCCCGGGGCUUAACCUCGGAAGUGCAUUUGAUACUGCAAGACUUGAGUAUGGGAGGGGGAAGUGGAAUUCCUGGUGUAGAGGUGAAAUUCGUAGAUAUCAGGAGGAACACCAGUGGCGAAGGCGACUUCCUGGACCAAUACUGACGCUGAGGCGCGAAGGCGUGGGGAGCAAACAGGAUUAGAUACCCCGGUAGUC